RNAcentral lists this ribosomal RNA (385 nucleotides) under uncultured bacterium. Its description in RNAcentral is "bacterial SSU rRNA". It matches the Rfam family "Bacterial small subunit ribosomal RNA", at positions 30 to 415 of the family's 1533-position model. The record is from RNAcentral.
AUUGAACGCUGGCGGCAUGCCUUACACAUGCAAGUCGAACGGCAGCACGGGGGCAACCCUGGUGGCGAGUGGCGAACGGGUGAGUAAUACAUCGGAACGUGCCCUGAAGUGGGGGAUAACGUAGCGAAAGUUACGCUAAUACCGCAUAUUCUGUGAGCAGGAAAGCAGGGGAUCGCAAGACCUUGUGCUUUAGGAGCGGCCGAUGUCGGAUUAGCUAGUUGGUGAGGUAAAGGCUCACCAAGGCGACGAUCCGUAGCGGGUCUGAGAGGAUGAUCCGCCACACUGGAACUGAGACACGGUCCAGACUCCUACGGGAGGCAGCAGUGGGGAAUUUUGGACAAUGGGCGCAAGCCUGAUCCAGCCAUGCCGCGUGAGUGAAGAAGGC